UUAAGCGACUAAGCGUACACGGUGGAUGCCCUGGCAGUCAGAGGCGAUGAAGGACGUGCUAAUCUGCGAUAAGCGUCGGUAAGGUGAUAUGAACCGUUAUAACCGGCGAUUUCCGAAUGGGGAAACCCAGUGUGUUUCGACACACUAUCAUUAACUGAAUCCAUAGGUUAAUGAGGCGAACCGGGGGAACUGAAACAUCUAAGUACCCCGAGGAAAAGAAAUCAACCGAGAUUCCCCCAGUAGCGGCGAGCGAACGGGGAGSAGCCCAGAGCCUGAAUCAGUGUGUGUGUUAGUGGAAGCGUCUGGAAAGGCGCGCGAUACAGGGUGACAGCCCCGUACACAAAAAUGCACAURYUGUGAGCUCGAUGAGUAGGGCGGGACACGUGGUAUCCUGUCUGAAUAUGGGGGGACCAUCCUCCAAGGCUAAAUACUCCUGACUGACCGAUAGUGAACCAGUACCGUGAGGGAAAGGCGAAAAGAACCCCGGCGAGGGGAGUGAAAAAGAACCUGAAACCGUGUACGUACAAGCAGUGGGAGCACGCUUAGGCGUGUGACUGCGUACCUUUUGUAUAAUGGGUCAGCGACUUAUAUUCUGUAGCAAGGUUAACCGAAUAGGGGAGCCGAAGGGAAACCGAGUCUUAACUGGGCGUUAAGUUGCAGGGUAUAGACCCGAAACCCGGUGAUCUAGCCAUGGGCAGGUUGAAGGUUGGGUAACACUAACUGGAGGACCGAACCGACUAAUGUUGAAAAAUUAGCGGAUGACUUGUGGCUGGGGGUGAAAGGCCAAUCAAACCGGGAGAUAGCUGGUUCUCCCCGAAAGCUAUUUAGGUAGCGCCUCGUGAAUUCAUCUCCGGGGGUAGAGCACUGUUUCGGCAAGGGGGUCAUCCCGACUUACCAACCCGAUGCAAACUGCGAAUACCGGAGAAUGUUAUCACGGGAGACACACGGCGGGUGCUAACGUCCGUCGUGAAGAGGGAAACAACCCAGACCGCCAGCUAAGGUCCCAAAGUCAUGGUUAAGUGGGAAACGAUGUGGGAAGGCCCAGACAGCCAGGAUGUUGGCUUAGAAGCAGCCAUCAUUUAAAGAAAGCGUAAUAGCUCACUGGUCGAGUCGGCCUGCGCGGAAGAUGUAACGGGGCUAAACCAUGCACCGAAGCUGCGGCAGCGACACURUGUGUUGUUGGGUAGGGGAGCGUUCUGUAAGCCUGYGAAGGUGURCUGUGAGGYAUGCUGGAGGUAUCAGAAGUGCGAAUGCUGACAUAAGUAACGAUAAAGCGGGUGAAAAGCCCGCUCGCCGGAAGACCAAGGGUUCCUGUCCAACGUUAAUCGGGGCAGGGUGAGUCGACCCCUAAGGCGAGGCCGAAAGGCGUAGUCGAUGGGAAACAGGUUAAUAUUCCUGUACUUGGUGUUACUGCGAAGGGGGGACGGAGAAGGCUAUGUUGGCCGGGCGACGGUUGUCCCGGUUUAAGCGUGUAGGCUGGUUUUCCAGGCAAAUCCGGAAAAUCAAGGCUGAGGCGUGAUGACGAGGCACUACGGUGCUGAAGCAACAAAUGCCCUGCUUCCAGGAAAAGCCUCUAAGCAUCAGGUAACAUCAAAUCGUACCCCAAACCGACACAGGUGGUCAGGUAGAGAAUACCAAGGCGCUUGAGAGAACUCGGGUGAAGGAACUAGGCAAAAUGGUGCCGUAACUUCGGGAGAAGGCACGCUGAUAUGUAGGUGAAGUCCCUCGCGGAUGGAGCUGAAAUCAGUCGAAGAUACCAGCUGGCUGCAACUGUUUAUUAAAAACACAGCACUGUGCAAACACGAAAGUGGACGUAUACGGUGUGACGCCUGCCCGGUGCCGGAAGGUUAAUUGAUGGGGUUAGCGCAAGCGAAGCUCUUGAUCGAAGCCCCGGUAAACGGCGGCCGUAACUAUAACGGUCCUAAGGUAGCGAAAUUCCUUGUCGGGUAAGUUCCGACCUGCACGAAUGGCGUAAUGAUGGCCAGGCUGUCUCCACCCGAGACUCAGUGAAAUUGAACUCGCUGUGAAGAUGCAGUGUACCCGCGGCAAGACGGAAAGACCCCGUGAACCUUUACUAUAGCUUGACACUGAACAUUGAGCCUUGAUGUGUAGGAUAGGUGGGAGGCUUUGAAGUGUGGACGCCAGUCUGCAUGGAGCCGACCUUGAAAUACCACCCUUUAAUGUUUGAUGUUCUAACGUKGACCCGURAUCCGGGUUGCGGACAGUGUCUGGUGGGUAGUUUGACUGGGGCGGUCUCCUCCUAAAGAGUAACGGAGGAGCACGAAGGUUGGCUAAUCCUGGUCGGACAUCAGGAGGUUAGUGCAAUGGCAUAAGCCAGCUUGACUGCGAGCGUGACGGCGCGAGCAGGUGCGAAAGCAGGUCAUAGUGAUCCGGUGGUUCUGAAUGGAAGGGCCAUCGCUCAACGGAUAAAAGGUACUCCGGGGAUAACAGGCUGAUACCGCCCAAGAGUUCAUAUCGACGGCGGUGUUUGGCACCUCGAUGUCGGCUCAUCACAUCCUGGGGCUGAAGUAGGUCCCAAGGGUAUGGCUGUUCGCCAUUUAAAGUGGUACGCGAGCUGGGUUUAGAACGUCGUGAGACAGUUCGGUCCCUAUCUGCCGUGGGCGCUGGAGAACUGAGGGGGGCUGCUCCUAGUACGAGAGGACCGGAGUGGACGCAUCACUGGUGUUCGGGUUGUCAUGCCAAUGGCACUGCCCGGUAGCUAAAUGCGGAAGAGAUAAGUGCUGAAAGCAUCUAAGCACGAAACUUGCCCCGAGAUGAGUUCUCCCUGACYCYUURAGRGUCCUGAAGGAACGUUGAAGACGACGACGUUGAUAGGCCGGGUGUGUAAGCGCAGCGAUGCGUUGAGCUAACCGGUACUAAUGAACCGUGAGGCUUAACCUU
Molecule: ribosomal RNA, 2901 nt
Filed under: Escherichia coli
Lineage: Bacteria; Pseudomonadati; Pseudomonadota; Gammaproteobacteria; Enterobacterales; Enterobacteriaceae
Description: bacterial LSU rRNA
Source: RNAcentral